RNAcentral lists this long non-coding RNA (571 nucleotides) under Phoenix dactylifera (date palm). RNAcentral's name for it is "long non-coding RNA (PDAC_LNC009453)". Lineage: Eukaryota; Viridiplantae; Streptophyta; Magnoliopsida; Arecales; Arecaceae. The record is from RNAcentral.
GUAUUUCAAUUCAGUAAAACCUUGGCCAGGGUAAACCAAGUGAUGGUCACUUGAUUUGAUUAAUUGAAAUACACUAUGGAUGACCGGACCCAGAGUUCGACAGUCCACUCUGAGGUCAUCUUGAGCAUCGAUGGUCAUAGGGAUGAAUUAUGCAAUAACCAUACGUUUAGGUUCUUGAAUGUUGCUUUGCAUAUUCAACCUAUCCGGACGUCGGGUAUCAUUGCUAGAUGGUCACCUCGAUUAGUGCAUGGAGUAGUCCAUGUACUACCGGCUUAGUGUUCGAACCUAUCGGAGUCAUGCACAUUAGUCAAACUAAGUAGGAAAGUCUUGACCCAAUUUAAUUAAGAAUUAAAUUAUGGGUCAUUUGGAAUUUAGUUCUGUCUAUGUUCCGCUAGCACCGAACAUGAGGUACAUGCUAAAUUUCAUGGAUGAACAACUAAUUAAGUCCGUAUUUCGGGUCAAUCAAGUUUCAAUUAAUGUAAUGCAACUUGAUCAGGACUCAAUUGUUGAGAUUGGAUUUGAUUGGGUCUAAAUUAGUGUAAUUGGGCUCGAUCAUGAUUUAAGUGGAANN